RNAcentral lists this transfer RNA (71 nucleotides) under Sus scrofa (pig). It matches the Rfam family "tRNA". From Rfam's summary of the family: Transfer RNA (tRNA) molecules are approximately 80 nucleotides in length. The record is from Rfam by way of RNAcentral. Lineage: Eukaryota; Metazoa; Chordata; Mammalia; Artiodactyla; Suidae.
UCCCUGAUGAUCUAGUGGUUAGGACUCAGCGUUUUCACCCUAUGGCCUGGGUUCAAUUCCUAGUUUGGGAA